AUUUUAUUUAACGGCCGCGGUAUUUUAACCGUGCGAAGGUAGCGCAAUCACUUGCCCUUUAAAUAAGGACCUGUAUGAAUGGCGUGACGAGGGCUUAACUGUCUCCUUCCCCCAGUCAAUGAAAUUGAUUUUUCCGUGCAGAAGCGGGAAUAAAAAUAUAAGACGAGAAGACCCUGUGGAGCUUUAGACGAACAUAAACUUUGUAAAGCGUACUCACUUGAUGAGAAAAAACAAUAAGAACCUUAAUGUCUAGUCUUCGGUUGGGGCGACCGCGGGGUAACACAAAACCCCCAUGAGGAACAAGAGCACCUGCUCUUUAAACUAAGAGAUACCACUCAAAGUAACAAAACUUUUGACCUAUAAUGAUCCGGCCUUGCCGAUCAACGAAACUAGUUACCCCAGGGAUAACAGCGCUAUCCUUUCCUAGAGUCCCUAUCGACGAAAGGGUUUACGACCUCGAUGUUGGAUCAGGACAUCCUAAUGGUGCAACCGCUAUUAAGGGUUUGUUUGUUCAACAAUUAAAGUCCUACGUGACU
This 536-nucleotide ribosomal RNA is filed under the name Xiphasia setifer (hairtail blenny). Its description in RNAcentral is "partial 16S ribosomal RNA". It matches the Rfam family "Bacterial large subunit ribosomal RNA", at positions 1917 to 2606 of the family's 2925-position model. Lineage: Eukaryota; Metazoa; Chordata; Actinopteri; Blenniiformes; Blenniidae. The record is from RNAcentral.